UAAUACAUGUAGGGUGUGUUCUGGGUGGU
This 29-nucleotide non-coding RNA is filed under the name Mus musculus (house mouse). The record is from RNAcentral. Lineage: Eukaryota; Metazoa; Chordata; Mammalia; Rodentia; Muridae.